CUCAUCAUCAUGAGGACUCCCUAUCGUGACGUUACUCACUGUAUCUUUAUGCAGUGCUCCAUGGAGCGCAUGCUGCGAGCACAUGGGAAGGAGGUCGAGAUUUGUGUUUGAAAGGCACGCACCUAUCCGAAAUGGAAUAGAACUAAUAAUGCACAAAACGGAGUCAGGGAACGGGAUGGCUGUUUGACGACCCUGCCCUUUCUGCUAUACUCAGCUGUCAAUCAUUCAGGAUCAGCAGAUCUCUAAUCAAGACAUGGACCUGGAUGCAAAGACUGAACAGGACCUGAGCCCGAGGACCCUGCCUCAGGACUACCCGGCAUGAUGGCUCCUUGCUGUCCUAGUCCACCUGGCCGUGCUGCUGCUCCAGUUUCAACUGUUCUGCCUGUGGUUAUGGAACCCUGACCUGUUCACUGGAUGUGCUACCUGUCCCAGACCUGCUGUUUUCAACUCUCUAGAGACAGCAGGCGUGGUAGAAAUACUCUCAAUGAUCGGCUAUGAAAAGCCAACUGACAUUUACUCCUGAGGUGCUGACUUGUUGCACCCUCGACAACUACUGUGGUUAUUAUUAUUUGACCAUGCUGGUCAUUUAUGAACAUUUGAACAUCUUGGCCAUGUUCUGUUAUUCUGCUGAGGAGACGUUAUCCAUGUAUCUCCCCAGAAAGGCCCUCACCUCUUCGUCCUUAACGUAAGGGUUGUAAAUGUUGACAGUUACAACCCUAAAGUUAUUCUUCGCCAGGCUUGUUAUUUCGUAGUGGCACAUCGGCCUCUCACCUCCCACUGCUCUUGCCCUUCUCAGGAUAUCAUCGUGUUUUUCCUCUGUAUAUAGUGCCACGUCGUAUGCUCCCUCCAACGAGUUGCCUUGGAAACAAAACACGUCCUUCACCGUCAGCUUUAGAAUCCCCAUCAAUAUUAUCCUUCCAAAAGUUUCCCGUCCUAAAGGCUCCAACUCCUUUUCCUUCCAAGCAAACCAAAUCGUGUUGGCCAGCCCAAUCCCAGGGACCGACCGUGUUGAUGUAUUUAGCACCAUCUCCGCAAGGAGAAUGGCGCUCGUUCUCUUCUCUUCCAAAACAAGUAAAAAGAAAAACCAAAGUGACCGAGCCUAUCUGGUGAAACUACACAGAGACAGGAACAAUCACCCACGAAACACUCAAAGAAUAUGGCUGCCAAAAUAUGGUUCCCAAUCAGAGACAACGAUAAACACCUGCCUCUGAUUUGAGAACCACUCCAGGCAACCAUAGACUUUUCUAGACAACCCCACUAACCACAAUCCCAAUACCUACAAAAAACCCAAGACAAAACACACCACAUAAAUAACCCAUGUCACACCCUGGCCUGACCAAAAUAAUAAAGAAAACACAAAAUAUUAAGACCAGGGCGUGACAAUUUUCACAUUUGAAAAACAUUGAAAUUUGGCAUCACCAUGUUGUCACAUUUACUUAACAUUGUUUUCACAUGUGUAGUUUUAUGUUAUCGCAGGUUGCUUUUACAUGUUGUGACAUGUUAUCACAUUACAGUAACUUCACAUAAUAUCAUGUGAUCACAUGAAAUUCAUGUUGUUUUUCUGUAACGGAAUGUCAAAGUGGAAUAAAAAUAUUUUUUACAUUUUUACAGAUGAAUAAAAAAUGAAAAGCUGAUAUGUCUUGAGUCAAUAAGUAUUCAACCCCUUUAUGGCAAGCCUAAAUAAGUUCAGGAACAAAAAGUCACAUGAUUUGCGUGGACUCAUUCUGUGUAAUAUAGUGUUUAAUAUGAUUUUUGAAUGACUACCUCAUCUCUGUACCCCACACAAACAAUUAUCUGUAAGGUCCCUCAGUUGAGCAGGGAAUUUCAAACACCGAUUCAACCACAAAGAUCAGGGAGGUUUUCCAAUGUCUCGCAAAGAAAGUCACCUAUUGGUAGAUGGGUCAAAAAUUUAAAAAGCAGACAUUGAAUAUCCCUUUGAGCAUGGUGAAAUGAUUAAUUACACUUUGGAUGUUGUAUCAACACACCCAGUCACCACAAAGAUACAGGAGUCCUUCUGAAGGAAACCACUCAGGGAUUUCAUCACGAGGCCUAUGGUGACUUUUUUAAACCGUUCGAGUUUAAUGGUUGGAGAAAACUGAGGAUAGAUCAACAACAUUGCAGUUUCUCCACAAAACUAACCUAAAUGAUGGAGUGAAAAGAAGGCUGUACAGAAUAAAAAAUAUUCCAGAACAUGCAUCCUGUUUGCGGCUGGUUUAUCAAAUCAAAUUUUAUUUGUCACGUACAAAUAGUUAGCAGAUGUUAAUGCGAGUGUAGCGAAAUGCUUGACGGGUAGGAGCGUUGGGCUAGUAACAAGAAGGUUGCUGGAUCGAAUCCGGGUGUGCAAAACACUUAUACUUACCCAGAAAGAGGUAAGGUAAUUCUAACGUGUAUUGACUCAGGGGUGUGAAUACUUACGUAAAUGAGAUAUUUCAUUUUCACAGUUAAAUCUUUUACACUUAGCAUGAAUAAACAAGUCAGUUUUCAGUGGAACGGAACACAGGGAUUUAAAAGAGCGUAUGAUGAGUUGUGCAAUGUAAAGUUUUAUGGAGAGGUCAGGUUUGUGUGUGUGUGUGUGUGUGUUUGUGCCAGCGUACCCCCAUGUCUGUCUGCGUGUCUGUGUUGGACUGACAAGGAUUUAGUGGAGUCAUGUAUUUUCAUGGUGUAGGCUGAAAUAUGUUGAGGCCAUGCUGCUGUUGCCUUUAUUCCCCCCGUGUCCAGAAUGCUUUGUACUCUUGUGACGGUCGCUGUCAGUAGCUGUCACAUUCCAUCCAUCUGUACUAAUCAGUCUUUUGUCAAUCAGAAAGAGUCUGGAGCAGAAUGGUUGAGUCUGAAUAAAUCU
This is a long non-coding RNA of Oncorhynchus masou masou (cherry salmon), 2839 nucleotides long. RefSeq lists it as uncharacterized. The transcript has 3 exons. NCBI's taxonomy places the organism in Eukaryota, Metazoa, Chordata, Actinopteri, Salmoniformes, Salmonidae. The record is from RefSeq and is a predicted model, not a curated record.